RNAcentral lists this transfer RNA (72 nucleotides) under Pandoraea bronchicola. Its description in RNAcentral is "Pandoraea sp. LMG 20603 tRNA-Gly". It matches the Rfam family "tRNA". Rfam says of the family: Transfer RNA (tRNA) molecules are approximately 80 nucleotides in length. The record is from RNAcentral. Lineage: Bacteria; Pseudomonadati; Pseudomonadota; Betaproteobacteria; Burkholderiales; Burkholderiaceae.
ACGGGUGUAGCUCAAUGGCAGUGCAGAAGCCUUCCAAGCUUAUGACGAGGGUUCGAUACCCUUCACCGCUCC